UACGUAGGGGGCAAGCGUUGUUCGGAAUUACUGGGCGUAAAGCGCGCGUAGGCGGUUUGACAAGUCAGAUGUGAAAGCCCCGGGCUCAACUUGGGAACUGCGUCCGAUACCGGCAGGCUUGAGUCCGGGAGAGGGAUGCGGAAUUCCAGGUGUAGCGGUGAAAUGCGUAGAUAUCUGGAGGAACACCGGUGGCGAAGGCGGCAUCCUGGACCGGUAUUGACGCUGAGGCGCGAAAGCCAGGGGAGCAAACGGG
This 253-nucleotide ribosomal RNA is filed under the name uncultured bacterium. RNAcentral describes it as "partial 16S ribosomal RNA". It matches the Rfam family "Bacterial small subunit ribosomal RNA", at positions 524 to 776 of the family's 1533-position model. The record is from RNAcentral.